UACAGAGGUCUCAAGCGUUGUUCGGAAUUACUGGGCGUAAAGGGUGCGCAGGCCGCGCGGCCAGUCAAAUGUGUAAUUCAGGGGCUCAACCCCUGCACUGCGCUUGAUACUUCCGCGCUCGAACCUUGGAGAGGAGUCUGGAAUUCUCGGUGUAGCAGUGAAAUGCGUGGAUAUCGAGAAGAACACUUAGGGCGAAAGCAAGACUCUGGACAAGUGUUGACGCUCAUGCACGAAGGCUAGGGUAGCGAACGGG
This 253-nucleotide ribosomal RNA is filed under the name uncultured bacterium. Its description in RNAcentral is "partial 16S ribosomal RNA". It matches the Rfam family "Bacterial small subunit ribosomal RNA", at positions 524 to 776 of the family's 1533-position model. The record is from RNAcentral.